Molecule: non-coding RNA, 2505 nt
Organism: Arachis ipaensis
Lineage: Eukaryota; Viridiplantae; Streptophyta; Magnoliopsida; Fabales; Fabaceae
Source: RefSeq, a predicted model, not a curated record
GGAUUUACUUUAAGCGUGUCUCCUCAUUUCACACGAUACAUCCGCGCCUCCACACCCCUCUCUUCCAAACGCUCCAUCGGCGGCGCCUCUCCGCCUUGCACCGCCGUCGCACUGAACUUCCGUCAUACCGAAGCUCCGUCACACCCCUCCCGGCUCUUCGUGUGUUGCACGCGUCGCUUUGUAUCGAACCCUAAUGUGCAGCCUCUCCUCCUGUUCGCCAUUUUUCGUUGAGCUUUUCUGCAUCUCGUCUGCUUCACCACCUCUCCUCAAACUUUGCAGCGCGCUGCUGUCGUUCUAGUCUUGGUAUGGUUUCUGUGGUCCAGUUCUUAUUGUAUUUGCUAUCGUCUUACGCAUGCAUAGCUAUUUUGAUUUAUUUUUCUUUUGCUUUCUUUCUUUCUUUCUUUCUCCUUCGUUUUCCUUCUCGCACUUCUGGAUCUGCUACCACUCAUAGAAUUUCCUGUUCCAGAAUAUCGAGAAUCUAUCCUCAGAUUAGGUUAAUUUCUGAACAUAUCACUUUCAGUUUUCUGGAUUUUUAUUUUCAUGUUUGAAAUACUGAUUGUGUAGAUUUUGUUGUUCAAUUAGUUCAUUCUUUUUUCAGUUACUGAGAUGAUUAUAUGGCUUUAAGUCCAAAACAUGAGCAAUACAAUAAUGUCUGUGGCCACCAAUUCAUUCUCUAUUCAUGUGAUGAAAAAAUUAUUAGCUGUUAGUAACUCAGGAAGUUUAUCUGUGUCAUUGCUUCAGAAGAUUCAUGGAAACCUCAUAAAGGAGGCCCAUGACAAGUCAAGAUCUGUGACCAAGGCUCCUGCCAUGAAGGGUUAGUAUAAUUCUGGUCUAUUUUCUUAGUUUCUUCCUAUAUCAAUAACCUACAUAUCAAUAUAUACCUGCAAAUCUAUAAGAUAUAUUGUUUCAAGGGAUCCACACAACAGAAGAUAGAAGAGGAAUUGAGGGUUAAGAUAAUAAUACCUACUUCAAAAGAAGAUGAUUUUGUUAGUGGUAUGCUUCACUUGGGAUGUAUGAUGUGGCUGUCAAGCAUAUGAUGAAAAUCUUGGCCUGCAGUCACCAGUCCAAGGCAACACAGGAAUUAUUCCUUAGUGACUUUCUUCAAACUGUGAAGGUGAUAGUGACUCUAUUUCCUUUUCAGAUCUCAUGCUUAGAACCUGAUUGUUAAAAUACUGAAUCAUAUGACAAUAAAAUUUACUUUUUGAGCAUAUAUAUUACUUAUUUGAAAAUUCAUAAAGUGGUUUCAUAAACUGGCACAUCAUCAUGGCUUCACUUAACAAGAACUAUAUUGACAUGGAUGAGUAUCCUGUCACCACUGAGCUCCAGGUUUCUCUGUUUCUUUCUUUCCUCCUUUAUUUAUUUAUUUAUUUAUCACUUCACUUGAUCAUAAAAAACUAAUUGGGGAUCAUGUGAGAUCUCUUCAACUGUGAACAAGAUUGUUUGAAUCAUGGCUUAAAUAGAUUUUUGGCCUUACAAUUUUUUUCUUUUGGUGGUUUUGGUAAAAAAAAAAAAAAGUAUUCAGAAGUGAAAUUAGUCCCUUCUGUCAUCCAAAAUUAAAGAAAUUUGGAUAUGGUUACUUAUCUUUGAAUCAUAGGAACCAUAGGUUUAGUUUACCAUAAAAUUGCUAAAUUUUACAUGGAUCAUAACCUUAUUUAAACCCUUAAGUUUUUAUAAUUUAUAAACUUAUUGAGGGAAAGUGAUAUUGAAAGAGCUUGAUUAUUUGGUUGGUUUAUUAGGCUGAAAUUUUCGUUGGUUGGACAAUAGAUCUAUCUGUAACAAGUGUUGGAGAAAGGAGGAUUUUUCCUUUUUUUAUUUUUAUUUAUUUAUUUAUUUAUUUUUUUAUGUCAAAGCAUCGACUAGAAUAAAAAAGUAGCUUACAUAUGAUAGAUAGAUUUUGGUUUUUAUGAUGUUUGCCCUCAAAAUUUGGUGUUUCUGUUGGCAACUUUUUAGAUCUCAUGUGUUGUCAGAAAAUGGAGUGAAUUGCUAUAACUGAAAUAGCCACUGAAUUCUGAAUCUUAUGUGAAGUAGUAACAUUGAACUAUUGAAAGCUGUGAUAUUGCUCUAUUUAAAUCUGUCUGUAAAAUUCAAAUAUACGACUGGGUAAUGUUGCAGCAGGUGAUGCAGAAUUAUAUAAUUUAAAUGUUGCAGCAGGUGAUGCAGAAUCCUAACUUCAUGACCAUGGCUGAGCGCCUGGGAUCCAUCUAUGUCUUCCAUGCUUGAAAGUCUUACUAGUCCUUCAAAUAAAGAUCAGCUUGAGAAGAGAAUGGCACGCAUAAAAGAAGAUCCAUCUUUGAAGCAUAUUUUAGAUGAGAUAGAGACUGGUGGUCCUGCUGCUAUGAUGAGGUUUAGAUGGCAAAAUUAGGAUGGUCAUCUUAAUUUUUGGGAGUAUCUUUUUAUUGAGACACUGAGAUAUUGAAUAAUGGUGUUGAAAAAUAAUAUCCAAUUUUAUAGGUAUCGUGUAAUGAAUAUUAUGUUUAUCUAUGAAUAUUAUGUUUAUCUAUGUGA